GAGGGUACAGCUCAAGUGGUAGAGCGCAUGCUUAGCAUGCAUGAGGUCCUGGGUUCAAUCCCCACUACCUCCU
Molecule: transfer RNA, 73 nt
Filed under: Camelus bactrianus (Bactrian camel)
Lineage: Eukaryota; Metazoa; Chordata; Mammalia; Artiodactyla; Camelidae
Also listed under: 2 other names
Rfam family: tRNA
About the family: Transfer RNA (tRNA) molecules are approximately 80 nucleotides in length. Their secondary structure includes four short double-helical elements and three loops (D, anti-codon, and T loops).
Source: Rfam by way of RNAcentral